CAGACUGACUAAUGCAUCUAUCCUAAUUUUUGUCCAUGAGUCCUGGGAUAUUUAGGGGAUUCAUACCAGUUAUAAGGGGAUACAACAUCGGCAUCAGAUUGGUUGAAGAUUUCUUGGCUCGCUCUGCUGUGAAGAAGUGCCGCAGCUUUUCUGAAACUGCAGACAUAAUUGCACAGAGAUUACUGUGGACCAGGUGAACAUUGUGUGGGUAAGUUUAAGUUUGUGUGGCCUUCAAAAGAAUUAUCGGUGGGAUAUAAAAGCAAAAUAUUCAAUCAUAUUCAGCACUUUUUAUGGCAAGGGGUAAAAGACUACAUGCAUUGACAUAGAAAAACUUGCCUUUUUUAUUCCUCCUGUCAUUGUUGCUUAGUCCAGUAUUACCUUAUGUUGAGGUUUGUUGGUGUGUAUGAACAACAUACACAGAGUACAUAAACAUAACUAAGCUUUCCACAAAGUUUUUAUGUUCAUAUGUUGGUUUUGUCAUACACUGAAUAUUUUGGAGUCUGCAUUCUCUUAUUUUAUUUUGUUUGUGAACACCUUGGAGAGUAUUAUAAAAUGCAAACCACUAUAUUCUGGUUGACUUUCUUAACUUAGGUGUGCAUGUAUGCUGCAUACACACUUGUUGAUAUAGCAAAUGAUAUAUUUUGCUGAAAAUAUUAUAUUUUAAUUCAUUCUGUUUGCUGGAGUUCUUCCUCCUUUUUAACACAAACCUUUUUUUAAGAAAAAGGGCUUUGUAGAGUAAGGAAAGAACUUCUAAACCCAUAAUGGCGAACCUAUGGUACAUGUGCCCGAAGUGGCACAUGGAAUCAUGUCACCUGACACUUGCAGCAUCGCCUGUUUCUCUUCUGGGCUUCUAGCAUGCAUGCGCACACGAUGAUCAGUUGGCCUUCAUGCGUGCAGCAGUGCUGGAAAUGGGAAGAGCUGUCUUCUGUUUUUCAGUGUGAGCAUGCGCGCAGGUCAGCUGAUCAUUGUGCGUGCAUGCAUACCAGUAACCAGAAGACCUUCUGGUGCACUGGAAACCAGAAGUACAUUUUCCAACACAUGCAUGUCUCUUGAUCAGCUCCUCUUCCGGGUUGUGACCCAGAUGAGCUCUCCCUUUUCGGCACUCAGUGCUGAAAAGGUUCACCAUCACUGGUCUAAACUCAUGAUGAGAAAAUGUCUUGGUUAUGAUUCUUCUAAGCUCUGUUCUUUCCAGCGUUAAACAAAGCUUAAUUAUUUACUUUGAUUUAUUUGAGGUUUUGCCAUUUUUCCUGUUGUGGUGAUUUGAGUUCAAUGGAUGUUGAAAACUUGACAGUGGCCAAAAUAAUGUACCAGAAGAAGCCACUGCAUUCCAAUUCCAAUAAAACAAAAGAGAAGACUAAGAAGAAGCAAGUAAAAUUGUCUUUAGGAUGGAACAUCAAAGUGGCCAUCACUGAGCCAUUAAUAAAAACAACAUACUAUGUUUUCUAUUCUUAGAGGAGCCUAAAUAUUUUGAAGAAACUUGGCAGACAGCAAGAAGUCUUCAAAGAGUAUAAAAGCCUCACUUCAAACCUAGAAAUUAUUCAACAAUACAGACAUAAAGUCUAUCAAUCCAAGUAGCUCAUGCAUAAUUCAUUCCCUGAACAUUGUUUUAGAUUGCCUAGUACCACCAGGACUUAAAAUCAGUAAAAUAGUUUUCUGAUGCUUUUUAAUAGAACAGGAUCCUACUGAGUUUUCAACAGCAAUUAAAUCCCUGGACACUGUAUAGAAUGAACCUGAUCUGGCUAGCCUUCAAAUAUUGUUGUGUUUAGAGAUCUGUGGCUAUGUCUAUUGACCCAAGUUGGUUUCAUUAUAUUUCAUCAAAGUCCAAACCAUACAAACCUGUUCCUGAAGAUAACUAAGCCAUGUCACAGAGCUGAUGAAUAAUGACAGACAGCUCCAUUGCUUUCUGUGGUGCUGUGUGGAUCAUGGAGAAGUAACAUUAAUAAAGAAGAUAAGUCACUUCUCAGACCUUAAGAAGGGAUAUAAUAUUGCACAAGUGAAGCUGUGUAUACAAUACUAUGAUUUCAACCAAGCAGAUAGCAGGAAUACUGAAACAUAACUUGAAUGGAUUUGUAACUCAAGUUCAUAUACAAUCAAGUACCUAACCAAAGUGAUGCAUCUCUACUUCUGGCUUUUUAGGUGUUGAGCAUAAACUUCCUGACUAAGGUCUAGAUGAUGUUAAAGAAUUAAGAACUAAUCUAACCAUCAUAGAGACAACUUCAUCAUAUAUCAAAUAUUAUAAAAUUAACUUCCUCUUUAAUCAAAGGUUCAGUUGAAUUAGAAUUAGUAUGCAAUACUGCAUUCUAACCACUGGGCCACCACUCAUAAAUAAUGAAUUUAGUUUGUAAUCUUAUCUUGCAACCAAGAUUAUGGUCUUUACUAAAGGACUAAAAGAUACACAUGACAAUUGAUGGUUAAGUGAUUUUUAAGUAUCCAAGUAAGACCUUUCAUACCUCAGGGGAAAAAGUGGCUGACUCACAAGCAAACUUGCUUGACCCAAGAACUAAAACUGCUUUCCUAAGAUUAUUCUAUGAGAGAGGAAGCAGGAUUCUUUCAAUAGUCCUUAAGAUAUUCAUGGUCAAAAUGAGGUCCAUUUCAUAGUGGAAUUCAGUGAGGUCCUGACCAAUGUAUUAAGAUAGGCAUCUAAUUUUUGCUGAAAAGAUGGUUACCAAGGAUUGAAAAAAGAAUGCUACUUUCCACGAUCAAAUAUUGAUUAAAUAGGAAUUUUAGAUUUAGAAUAAUCCAUAUUGCUGACCAUUUUUAAUCAACUUGAAAAAGGAUAGUUCAUAUAAUAAUCUUCAUAUAAAACACAAUGCAUCACUACUGUUACACUUUGUUGGGCACUCAAGUUUAACUUAGAUUAAAAAGACAUUACAUUAAAACAUUUCUGAAAGAAAAUCCCAUUAUUUUCCCAUUAAAAUCCCAUUAUUUUCUUGCACAAUCUUCUCCUGUUCUAAGUAAGAUAAUUGUUUUAGAAAUUGAUACUACAAGACCUUCUAAUAAAAGUAAGUCUUCAUGAGUUUUUUUAAGGCAGCCAACCUACUAGUAUCUCCUAAUAAUUUUUCAGUUAGCAUAAUCCUGGUUAAAGGAAGAAUUUUCUGAAGCCAAAGAAGCAAGAUAAGAAGGAUCACCAACCAAAGAUUCUGUGAUAGGAAUUAUCAUUUUCUCCCUUUUUUCUUCCUGCCAAUUCUUCUGCAAACGGAUUCAAUGGUAGCACUCAGUGUGAACUGCUACCAUUUCUGUUCUUGUGAUCCUGUGGUGAAAAGAAAGGAAUAAAAAUCUUUUUCUCUAUUCCCAUUGUUCCUUUGGCUCAGGUACCUUGAAGUGUUCCAAUAUUUGCUUCACUGGAAUAUGGAAUGCUAAACUAGUUUAGGUUUUGUCAAAGUGCAACAAACUGAAAAUGUUUCCGUGGAACACUCCAGAUGGGAUGUUUGGGUUUGAGAGCUAAAACAAAACAUAUUUUUCUAUUUUAUGCAGAACUCCAGACAGAAGCAUGACUUUAAACAGACAUAGCCAAUAAGUGUGCCUAGAUUUCUUUUUUCCUUUUUUACGCAAUAACCAGGGGAGUUGUUUUCAUUCAGAUUGUGAAUCAGUUUCUUUCCAGAUGAAAUCCUGAUGAUCACAUACACAUGCUACUCUAGAGUGAGCUCCAGAGAAGAAGAGCCCCCAUUGGCAUCAGUCUGAAUUCUCACUCUCCAGCCUCACCCUAAAAUUAUUGCAAAUGAAAAAAUAAGUGUUGUCAACUUCAUGCUGAGGAGGCUGUAAACAUUCACCCUCUUGGCAUGCAGUAGUUCCCUUAAUGAAAAUCCUCAGUCCAGUAUUUGAGAGGCUGCCACAAAGAGGAAGGUGGGGUCAACUUAUUUUCC
Molecule: non-coding RNA, 3863 nt
Organism: Thamnophis sirtalis
Lineage: Eukaryota; Metazoa; Chordata; Lepidosauria; Squamata; Natricidae
Source: RefSeq, a predicted model, not a curated record